Molecule: small RNA, 298 nt
Filed under: Nannospalax galili (Upper Galilee mountains blind mole rat)
Lineage: Eukaryota; Metazoa; Chordata; Mammalia; Rodentia; Spalacidae
Description: 7SK RNA (ENSNGAG00000005572.1)
Rfam family: 7SK RNA (bases 1-183)
About the family: 7SK was discovered as an abundant small nuclear RNA in the mid-70s but a possible function has only recently been suggested. Two independent studies have found that 7SK RNA binds the CDK9/cyclin T complex (known as elongation factor P-TEFb).
Source: RNAcentral
UGCUGUGAGGGUGAUCUGGCUGUACUGUCUGUGACCUCAUGGUUACCCAGGGUUGAUUCAGCUGAUUUGAUUGGCUAGGAAGAUGUUCUCUUCCUCCCUCCCUGUUCCAUGUGUGUCCCUCCCGUAACUGUAGGCUCAAAGGCAAAGGACAGCUUCCCUAAAGAGGACCAUUCCUCUGCUAGAAUCUCCAAGCAAGUCCUUGGGAAGGAAUGUGCUGCCUUUGGUUACCUAGCAUCCAAACAGCAAAGGGGAAGCAGCCCAUAGGUCAUCCCUUGGGUUACCUGCUAUUUCUCUUUUG